Molecule: ribosomal RNA, 119 nt
Filed under: Pteropus alecto (black flying fox)
Lineage: Eukaryota; Metazoa; Chordata; Mammalia; Chiroptera; Pteropodidae
Source: RNAcentral
GUCUACGGCCAUGCCACCCUGAAUGUGCCCGAUCUUGUCUGAUCUCGGAAGCUAAGCAGAGUCGGGCCUGGUUAGUACUUGGAUGGGAGACCACCUAGGAAGACCAGGUGCUGUACGCA